UUGUCUUUUAAAUAAAGACCUGUAUGAAUGGCUGAAUGAGGAUAAACCUGUCUCUUAUAACUAAUCAGUGAAACUGAUCUCCCAGUACAAAAGCUGGAAUAUACACAUAAGACGAGAAGACCCUGUGGAGCUUAAAACAAACCACUAAACAAGUAUACCACUACCUUAGUGUACGUUUUCAGUUGGGGCGACUUCGGAAUAAAAUGAAACUUCCGAGCACAGAGGCACUUCCUCUAACUAAGGCCAACAAGCCAAAGACCCAUAAACGACCCGGCCUUGCCGAUCAACGAACCAAGUUACCCCAGGGAUAACAGCGCAAUCUUCUUCGAGAGCCCUUAUCAACAAGAAGGUUUACGACCUCGAUGUUGGAUCAGGACACCCAAAUGGUGCAGCCGCUAUUAAAGGUUCGUUUGUUCAACGAUU
Molecule: ribosomal RNA, 423 nt
Filed under: Brasiliscincus agilis
Lineage: Eukaryota; Metazoa; Chordata; Lepidosauria; Squamata; Scincidae
Description: partial 16S ribosomal RNA
Rfam family: Bacterial large subunit ribosomal RNA
Source: RNAcentral